CACGUAGUUAGCCGUGGCUUAUUCAAGGGGUACCGUCUUCCGCUCUUCCCCCUUAAAAGAAGUUUACAACCCGAAAGCCUUCUUCCUUCACGCGGCGUUGCUGGGUCAGACUUGCGUCCAUUGCCCAAUAUUCCCCACUGCUGCCUCCCGUAGGAGUCUGGGGCCGUAUCUCAGUCCCAAUGUGGCCGGCCAACCUCUCAGUCCGGCUACUGAUCGUCGCCUUGGUGGGCCGUUACCUCACCAACUAGCUAAUCAGACGCGAGGCCAUCUUCCAGCGAUAAAUCUUUGACGUCAGAGUCAUGCGGCUCCAACGCAUCAUGCGGUAUUAGCAGUCGUUUCCAACUGUUGUCCCCCUCUGGAAGGCAGGUUCCUCACGCGUUACUCACCAGUCCGCCACUAAGCAUUCCCAUCCGUUGUCCGAAAACUCCUUCAGGGGUGCUCCGUUCGACUUGCAUGUGUUAAGCACGCCGCCAGCGUUCGUCUCGAGCCAGGAUCAAACUCU
RNAcentral lists this ribosomal RNA (502 nucleotides) under uncultured Oscillibacter sp. Its description in RNAcentral is "partial 16S ribosomal RNA". Lineage: Bacteria; Bacillati; Bacillota; Clostridia; Eubacteriales; Oscillospiraceae. The record is from RNAcentral.